RNAcentral lists this ribosomal RNA (253 nucleotides) under uncultured bacterium. Its description in RNAcentral is "partial 16S ribosomal RNA". It matches the Rfam family "Bacterial small subunit ribosomal RNA", at positions 524 to 776 of the family's 1533-position model. The record is from RNAcentral. RNAcentral also lists the same sequence under 1 other name.
UACGUAGGGCGCAAGCGUUGUCCGGAAUUAUUGGGCGUAAAGAGCUCGUAGGCGGCCAGUUGCGUCUGCUGUGAAAUCCCGGGGCUCAACCCCGGGCUUGCAGUGGAUACGGGCUGGCUGGAGGCAGGCAGGGGAGAACGGAAUUCCCGGUGUAGCGGUGAAAUGCGCAGAUAUCGGGAGGAACACCGGUGGCGAAGGCGGUUCUCUGGGCCUGUACUGACGCUGAGGAGCGAAAGCGUGGGGAGCGAACAGG